This 117-nucleotide small nucleolar RNA is filed under the name Jaculus jaculus (lesser Egyptian jerboa). Its description in RNAcentral is "Small nucleolar RNA SNORA25 (ENSJJAG00000007282.1)". The record is from RNAcentral. Lineage: Eukaryota; Metazoa; Chordata; Mammalia; Rodentia; Dipodidae.
AAGUCUCAAUGCUCUCAACUAUUAAAGGAGCUCCUAAGGUUGUGACCCAUGAUUGAAGUUCUCUACACAAGGCCAAAGUCACUCAAUAGUGCUAUAAUUUCCUAGGGGAAUGUAAAA